Molecule: long non-coding RNA, 460 nt
Filed under: Paramuricea clavata
Lineage: Eukaryota; Metazoa; Cnidaria; Anthozoa; Malacalcyonacea; Plexauridae
Source: RNAcentral
GUCGCUUUGUUAGUAAAAAAGAAUUUGUCACUUCCCUCAUCUAAACCUUUAAAAAAAAACUGGCAUCGUUGGUCUUGGGGUUAGGGGGUACAAAUGGUACCCAUAGCUUAGAGGGUGCAAAUGGUACCCGUAAGAAGACUUGGUGGAAAUCAUGUUGGUCGUUUGGAUCGGCGAGAAUAAGACAAUUAUGGCGGCAAAGUUUUUUUAAACAUUUUCUCUCCCGUAGUAAGGUAAAGCAUGUAUUUUUCCUGGUAGCCGGUCUUACUUCAUGAAAAAACAGUCCGCUACCAGUGACUAGGUCCCCUCUCUUAUGGCGGUCAUUGCGGCUCAAUACCUUCAGGGAUAUUCCUUUUCAGGGCGGUUGCAUGCGGAUAAUAUGGUCCGUCGCGUGCGCAAAAUAGUUAGGGAGUUAGACAGUUUAGAAGCGUCCAAACUGUGCAAUAUACACUCGCAUGAAACG